GCGGGGGUAGCCAAGCGGUAAGGCGAUCGGCUGCAGACCGAUGAUUCGGGGGUUCAAUUCCCUCCCCCCGCU
This 72-nucleotide transfer RNA is filed under the name Candidatus Woesearchaeota archaeon CG1_02_57_44. Its description in RNAcentral is "tRNA-Cys". It matches the Rfam family "tRNA". Rfam says of the family: Transfer RNA (tRNA) molecules are approximately 80 nucleotides in length. Their secondary structure includes four short double-helical elements and three loops (D, anti-codon, and T loops). The record is from RNAcentral. Lineage: Archaea; Nanobdellati; Candidatus Woesearchaeota.